This 406-nucleotide ribosomal RNA is filed under the name uncultured bacterium. RNAcentral describes it as "partial 16S ribosomal RNA". It matches the Rfam family "Bacterial small subunit ribosomal RNA", at positions 30 to 526 of the family's 1533-position model. The record is from RNAcentral.
AUUGAACGCUGGCGGCAGGCUUAACACAUGCAAGUCGAGCGAGCGGCGGACGGGUGAGUAAUGUCUGGGAAACUGCCUGAUGGAGGGGGAUAACUACUGGAAACGGUAGCUAAUACCGCAUACCAGCAUAUGUGUCCAGAUGGGAUUAGCUAGUAGGUGGGGUAAUGGCUCACCUAGGCGACGAUCCCUAGCUGGUCUGAGAGGAUCACAAGCCAAAAGUGAAAGGAAACAAGGUCAAGAAUCCUAAGGGGAGCAGCAGUGGGGAAUGUUGACAAAUGGGGGCAAGCCUGAUGCAGCCAUGCCGAGUUUUGUAAGAAGGCCUUCGGGUUGUAAAGCACUUUCAGCGAGGAGGCGUUACUCGCAGAAGAAGCACCGGCUAACUCCGUGCCAGCCGCCGCGGUAAUAC